GACGAACCGGUACGAACGUUAUUCGGAAUCACUGGGCUUAAAGGGUGCGUAGGCUGCGCGGAAAGUUGGGUGUGAAAUCCCUCGGCUCAACCGAGGAACUGCGCCCAAAACUGCCGUGCUCGAGGGAGACAGAGGUGAGCGGAACUUAGGGUGGAGCGGUGAAAUGCGUUGAUAUCCUAAGGAACACCGGUGGCGAAAGCGGCUCACUGGGGUCUCUUCUGACGCUGAGGCACGAAAGCUAGGGUAGCGAACGGG
This 255-nucleotide ribosomal RNA is filed under the name uncultured bacterium. RNAcentral's name for it is "partial 16S ribosomal RNA". It matches the Rfam family "Bacterial small subunit ribosomal RNA", at positions 524 to 776 of the family's 1533-position model. The record is from RNAcentral.